Cygnus atratus (black swan) is the source of this 720-nucleotide long non-coding RNA. RefSeq lists it as uncharacterized. The record is from RefSeq and is a predicted model, not a curated record. NCBI's taxonomy places the organism in Eukaryota, Metazoa, Chordata, Aves, Anseriformes, Anatidae. The transcript has 4 exons.
GACACAGCAAUUUCAGCUAUUCAUGGGGUUAGUUCUGGGAGUCUCUUUAUCAAGUAGGAUAUUUGAUCUGGAAAGACUUUUCAAUAAUCCUGUUUUUAAGAGUAGUCAGAAGAAAUGUUCUUAGCUUUCUUCAGCGCUAGGAGCAAUCCUUCCAUCCUGGGAGCAGUUAUCCUGCAUCCAAGAGGAGCUUCAUUUCUACUUUUUCCUCCUCGAAGGAGACUGUGGCCUGAUCUUCAUGGAGGAGAGCAAGGCAACACUCCAGUUCUCCAAGAAUGAACAAAGUAUAAAAGCAAACUCAAGAAUUACUGACAAACCUAAAAGAUAUUUCAAAUGGUGGGAAGAUGGCAUCCAGCUGAUAUAAGAGAAGGCCUGCUGGUAAGUCAGCCAGAAUUCUCCUGUGUGUUUAGGAAUGAACAACCCUGCAAAGCACUGGCAUACGUACAUCGACAUCCAAAAAUACACCCGGACAGCGCAUCUUAAAACUGUGUGUGAGAGAAGGAGGAUGGCUCUCCCAAAACCUUGUAUUCUGCUGGACCUGAUGUGUGGGUCUGUGGCAGUGCUGCUAUGUGUCAGGAGCCUAACCCACGCUAAGCCCCACGCUAAGCCUCUGAAGGUAUAAAGUUAAAAUCCUUAUUCUCCUCUGGCUGACUGUGCAUGAGUUAUUCUUCCGCUAUUGUGCAAAUAAAGAAAUAAAGUGGCAUUAAGAGACGAAGGGUAGAA